CAGCAACUCACAGAUCAGGCAACCAGCUGGACCUCAUUUUUACACGCCAGCACAUACUACACCACCCAGCCCAUGGCUCUCUGACGUCCUUCGUGAACAUCGUACUGACCUCAGGGCAGCUGAGAGGAGAUGGCGGAAAUCUAAAGAUCCAGCAGAUCUAGAACAAGCUGCUGGAUGACAAUCAGUCAGGCUUCAAAAGUGGGCACUCCACCGAGACUGCCCUGCUGUCUGUCACCGAGUCGCUGAGACAGGCGAAAGCUGAAUCCAGAUCAUCCGUCCUGAUUCUACUGGACCUUUCUGCAGCCUUCAACACAGUCAACCAUCAGAUCUUACUCUCCACCCUCUCUUCACUGGGCAUCACAGGAACUGUGCUUGACUGGUUUAAUUCCUAUCUCUCAGCCCAACGACACCACAGUGACUGCUCAAAUCUCUGCUUGCCUGGCAGACAUCUUGGCCUGGAUGAAGGAACACCACCUGCAACUUAAUCCAGCCAAGACCGAACUCCUUGUCUUUCCAGCCAACCCUGCUGUUGAACACAUCAUCACUGUGCAGCUGGGUGCAACUACAGUAACGCCUCCCAAAACGGUCAGAAAUCUAGGGGUAACCAUCGAUAACAAACUACAUUUCACAGACCACAUCUCAAAGACCUCAAGAUCAUGUAGAUUUACACUCUAAAAUAUCAGGAAGACCCUUCCUCUCUGAACAUGCCACACAACUUCUUGUUCAGUCACUUGUCAGGCCUCCCUGCAUGUGCAAUUAUACCACUGCAAAUGAUCCAGAAUGCAGCAGCACGUCUGGUCUUUAAUCAACCAAAGAGAGCGCAUGUUACACCACUCCAUGUCUCUCUUCACUGGCUGCCAGUUGAUGCACGUAUCAAGUUCAAGGCUCUGAUGCUGGCAUACAAAACAGUCACUGGGUCUGCUCCAGCAUACCUAAAAUAAUUUCUGCAGAGCUACGUGCCCACUAGAAGCCUGCGGUCAGCUAAGGAAUGUCGCCUUGUUGUACCAACACAAAGAGGCACCAAAACAUUUUCCCGGACUUUCGGCUUCAUCAUACCAUGUUGGUGGAAUGACUUUCCCAACUCCAUCUGUGAAGCUGACUCACUUUCUGUCUUCAAAAAAACGGCUAAAAACACAUCUUUUCCAUGAGCACUUAACCAGCCACUUAAAAUCCUUGUUGCACUUUAAUCUGUUUUGAAUGCUAUUCUGAUGCUAGUGAAACUUUGUAAUAUGGCACUUUUUCGUACCACUGUCUCCUUAAGAUGAUUCGCUUAUGUUUUUCCUCUUUUGUAAAUCGCUUUGGAUUAAAGCGUCUGCCAAAUGAAUAAAUGUAAAUAUCUUCUGCUUUAGUGUAUUAAUUUUUAGUAAAUUAUAGAUUUACAAGCAUUCCUUUAGCAAACAAAACAGAAGUAGAACAAGCAGUCCUGCAGCAGAUGGUAUGGCCCCCACAAAGCCUGGACCUCAAAAUCAAUCAGAGUCAGUAUUGGAUUACAUAAAAAGAUAGAAGCAGUUGAGACAGAGUAAAGACAUAGAAGAAUCGUGGCAAGUUCUCCAAGAAGCUUGGCACAUCCUAUCUGCCAACAACCAAGAAAAAUUGUGUCCAGGUGCUAGUUUUAUAUGCAAAGGUUGGUCAUUCCAAAUAUUAAUUCUG
This is a long non-coding RNA of Myxocyprinus asiaticus (Chinese sucker), 1650 nucleotides long. RefSeq lists it as uncharacterized. The record is from RefSeq and is a predicted model, not a curated record. The transcript has 4 exons. Lineage: Eukaryota; Metazoa; Chordata; Actinopteri; Cypriniformes; Catostomidae.